UACGGAAGGCAGCAGUGGGGAAUAUUGCACAAUGGGCGAAAGCCUGAUGCAGCUAUGCCGCGUGUAUGAAGAAGGCCUUAGGGUUGUAAAGUACUUUCAUCGGGGAGGAAAAACAAAACUAAUAAUUUUAUUUCUUGACGUUACCCGAAAAAGAAGCACCGGCUAACUCCGUGCCAGCAGCCGCGGUAAUACGGAGGGUGCUAGCGUUAAUCAGAAUUACUGGGCGUAAAGAGCACGUAGGUGGUUUUUUUAAGUCAGAUGUGAAAUCCCUGGGCUUAACCUAGGAACUGCAUUUUGAAACUGAAAUACUAGAGUAUCGUAGAGGGAGGUAGAAUUCUAGGUGUAGCGGUGAAAUGCGUAGAUAUCUGGAGGAAUACCUGUGGCGAAAGCGGCCUCCUAAACGAAUACUGACACUGAGGUGCGAAAGCGUGGGGAGCAAACAGGGAUUAGUACC
RNAcentral lists this ribosomal RNA (454 nucleotides) under uncultured bacterium. RNAcentral describes it as "bacterial SSU rRNA". It matches the Rfam family "Bacterial small subunit ribosomal RNA", at positions 340 to 786 of the family's 1533-position model. The record is from RNAcentral.